GACGAACGCUGGCGGCGUGCUUAACACAUGCAAGUCGAACGGAAAGGCCCUGCUUUUGUGGGGUGCUCGAGUGGCGAACGGGUGAGUAACACGUGAGUAACCUGCCCUUGACUUUGGGAUAACUUCAGGAAACUGGGGCUAAUACCGGAUAGGAGCUCCUGCUGCAUGGUGGGGGUUGGAAAGUUUCGGCGGUUGGGGAUGGACUCGCGGCUUAUCAGCUUGUUGGUGGGGUAGUGGCUUACCAAGGCUUUGACGGGUAGCCGGCCUGAGAGGGUGACCGGGCACAUUGGGACUGAGAUACGGCGCAGACUGGUACGGGGGGCAGCGGUGGGGAAUAUUGCACAAGGGGCGGAAGCCUGAUGCAGCGAUGCCGCGGGCGGGAUGACGGCCUUCGGGUUGUAAACCGCUUUCGCCUGUGACGAAGCGUGAGUGACGGUAAUGUGUAAAGAAGCACCGGCUAACUACGUG
RNAcentral lists this ribosomal RNA (468 nucleotides) under uncultured bacterium. RNAcentral's name for it is "partial 16S ribosomal RNA". It matches the Rfam family "Bacterial small subunit ribosomal RNA", at positions 28 to 507 of the family's 1533-position model. The record is from RNAcentral.